Molecule: ribosomal RNA, 219 nt
Filed under: uncultured bacterium
Lineage: Bacteria
Description: partial 16S ribosomal RNA
Rfam family: Bacterial small subunit ribosomal RNA
Source: RNAcentral
CGUACAGAACCUUCCUCCGAGUGGGGGAUAGCCCGGAGAAAUCCGGAUUAAUACCUCAUAGUAUUAUCAGGUGGCAUCAUUUGAUAAUUAAAGAUUUAUUGCUUGGAGAUGGCUGUGCGGCUGAUUAGGUAGUUGGUUGAGGUAAAGGCUCACCAAGCCGGCGAUCAGUAACUGGUGUGAGAGCACGACCAGUCACACGGGCACUGAGACACGGGCCCG